Molecule: small nuclear RNA, 121 nt
Filed under: Laccaria bicolor S238N-H82
Lineage: Eukaryota; Fungi; Basidiomycota; Agaricomycetes; Agaricales; Hydnangiaceae
Description: U5 spliceosomal RNA
Rfam family: U5 spliceosomal RNA
About the family: U5 RNA is a component of both types of known spliceosome.
Source: Rfam by way of RNAcentral
AGCAGCAGCCGAAGCAUCAAGCAGACAAUCCCCUCGCCUUUUACUAGGGGAUUCCGUGAUGCUUCGGCAGCAUAAUGCUGGAGUCGCCGACUACUGUUUUGGUCCCCGAUGGAAUGGGGAC